CGGUUUGCCUGGCGUUUUGGCUGUUAAGUUUGGUGAUGUUGGCCUCUCUAAGGAGUGUGUCCAAUAAACAGUACAUUCACUGAUCUUUGUCAACUUUUUAAGAAAAUAACAGAAUAUGAAGAAGGAAGACUACAUAUAGGAUCUAUCUACUUCAUAACUGGAAAAAGAGAAGCAGUUCACAAAUGUUGCUGAGCAGAAGACAAGAAACUCUGGCUGCACAAAAAUCUGAGCUCUUGAAAAAGAAAGAAAAAAAGAAAUGAAAAUAUGAAUGAUAUUCAAUCAAAGGAUCCAAAUGAUGAAAUUCUGGAAA
This is a long non-coding RNA of Saccostrea cuccullata (small rock oyster), 310 nucleotides long. RefSeq lists it as uncharacterized. The transcript has 3 exons. NCBI's taxonomy places the organism in Eukaryota, Metazoa, Mollusca, Bivalvia, Ostreida, Ostreidae. The record is from RefSeq and is a predicted model, not a curated record.